RNAcentral lists this non-coding RNA (21 nucleotides) under Caenorhabditis elegans. Lineage: Eukaryota; Metazoa; Nematoda; Chromadorea; Rhabditida; Rhabditidae. The record is from RNAcentral.
UGUGCAUGAAUUGAUCUGAAA